CCCUUAGAUGUUCUGGGCCGCACGCGCGCUACACUGACGAAUGCAACGAGCUUAUAACCUUGGCCGAAAGGUCUGCGUAAUCUCCAAAUUUCGUCGUGAUGGGGAUAGAUUAUUGCAAUUAUUAAUCUUCAACGAGGAAUGCCUAGUAAGCGCAAGUCAUCAGCUUGCGUUGAUUACGUCCCUGCCCUUUGUACACACCGCCCGUCGCUCCUACCGAUUGAAUGGUCCGGUGAAGCGUUCGGACCGUGGCCUUUGGACGGUUCGCCGUCUGUUGGCUGCGGGAAGUUCGUUAAACCUUAUCAUUUAGAGGAAGGAGAAGUCGUAACA
RNAcentral lists this ribosomal RNA (327 nucleotides) under uncultured eukaryote. RNAcentral describes it as "partial 18S ribosomal RNA". It matches the Rfam family "Eukaryotic small subunit ribosomal RNA", at positions 1470 to 1796 of the family's 1831-position model. The record is from RNAcentral.